Molecule: ribosomal RNA, 434 nt
Filed under: uncultured Roseburia sp.
Lineage: Bacteria; Bacillati; Bacillota; Clostridia; Lachnospirales; Lachnospiraceae
Description: partial 16S ribosomal RNA
Rfam family: Bacterial small subunit ribosomal RNA
Source: RNAcentral
ACGGAAGGCAGCAGUGGGGAAUAUUGCACAAUGGGCGAAAGCCUGAUGCAGCGACGCCGCGUGGGCGAAGAAGUAUUUCGGUAUGUAAAGCUCUAUCAGCAGGGAAGAUAAUGACGGUACCUGACUAAGAAGCACCGGCUAAAUACGUGCCAGCAGCCGCGGUAAUACGUAUGGUGCAAGCGUUAUCCGGAUUUACUGGGUGUAAAGGGAGCGCAGGCGGUACGGCAAGUCUGAUGUGAAAGCCCGGGGCUCAACCCCGGUACUGCAUUGGAAACUGUCGAACUAGAGUGUCGGAGGGGUAAGUGGAAUUCCUAGUGUAGCGGUGAAAUGCGUAGAUAUUAGGAGGAACACCAGUGGCGAAGGCGGCUUACUGGACGACAACUGACGCUGAGGCUCGAAAGCGUGGGGAGCAAACAAGAUUAGAUACCCUGGUA